Molecule: transfer RNA, 65 nt
Filed under: Acropyga guianensis
Lineage: Eukaryota; Metazoa; Arthropoda; Insecta; Hymenoptera; Formicidae
Description: tRNA-Asp
Source: RNAcentral
AAAAAAUUAGUUUAUAAAAAACAUUAAAUUGUCAAUUUAAAAAUAUUAAUCAAUAAUAUUUUUUA